GAUUAGAUACCCUAGUAUAAAAAUUUAAUAGAAUUAUUAUAUGUAAGGAAAUUUAAAAUUUUUGGCGGUUAAUUAUUAAUUAGAGGAGUUUGUUUUGUAGAAUUUACUCUUUAUAUUUUAUUAAUUAUUGUUUAUUUAUCUCCGUUAUAAGAUGAAAAUUUUAGAAGUUUUUGCUUGUAUUUCAGGUCAAGAUGUAGCAAAUAUUAAAUAAAAUUAACUACAUUAAUGUAAUUAUGAAUUUAUUAAUUAAAGAGUAGUAAUGAAAUUGGAUUUAAUUGUAAUUAGAUUCAGAAAAAUUAAAUGAAUAUUUAUAAUUAAUGUACAUAUUGCCCGUCACUUCUUUUGAUAAAAAGAAUAAGUCGUAACAAAGUAAAUUUA
Molecule: ribosomal RNA, 378 nt
Filed under: Eucynortella longa
Lineage: Eukaryota; Metazoa; Arthropoda; Arachnida; Opiliones; Cosmetidae
Description: partial small subunit ribosomal RNA
Source: RNAcentral